This 497-nucleotide ribosomal RNA is filed under the name uncultured bacterium. Its description in RNAcentral is "partial 16S ribosomal RNA". It matches the Rfam family "Bacterial small subunit ribosomal RNA", at positions 28 to 507 of the family's 1533-position model. The record is from RNAcentral.
GACGAACGCUGGCGGCGUGCCUAAUACAUGCAAGUAGAACGCUGAAGAGAGGAGCUUGCUCUUCUUGGAUGAGUUGCGAACGGGUGAGUAACGCGUAGGUAACCUGCCUUGUAGCGGGGGAUAACUAUUGGAAACGAUAGCUAAUACCGCAUAACAAUGGAUGACACAUGUCAUUUAUUUGAAAGGGGCAAUUGCUCCACUACAAGAUGGACCUGCGUUGUAUUAGCUAGUAGGGGAGGUAAUGGCUCACCUAGGCGACGAUACAUAGCCGACCUGAGAGGGUGAUCGGCCCCACUGGGACUGAGACACGGCCCCGACUCCUACGGGGGGCAGCAGUAGGGAAUCUUCGGCAAUGGGGGCAACCCUGACCGAGCAACGCCGCGUGAGUGAAGAAGGUUUUCGGAUCGUAAAGCUCUGUUGUAAGUGAAGAGCGGGUGUGAGAGUGGAAAGUUCACACUGUGACGGUAGCUUAACAGAAAGGGACGGCUAACUACGUG